This 106-nucleotide ribosomal RNA is filed under the name uncultured bacterium. RNAcentral describes it as "partial 16S ribosomal RNA". The record is from RNAcentral.
GUACCGUCAUUAUCUUCCCUACUAAAAGAACUUUACAACCCUAAGGCCUUCAUCAUUCACGUGGUAUUGCUGGAUCAGGCUUUCGCCCAUUGUCCAAUAUUCCUCA